AGCAGCAGCCGCGGUAAAACGGAGGGUGCAAGCGUUAAUCGGAAUUACUGGGCGUAAAGCGUGCGUAGGCGGUUCGUUAAGUCUGUUGUGAAAGCCCCGGGCUCAACCUGGGAAUGGCAAUGGAUACUGGCGAGCUAGAGUGUGUCAGAGGAUGGUGGAAUUCCCGGUGUAGCGGUGAAAUGCGUAGAGAUCGGGAGGAACAUCAGUGGCGAAGGCGGCCAUCUGGGACAACACUGACGCUGAGGCACGAAAGCGUGGGGAGCAAACAGGAUUAGAUACCCCCGUAGUCCCUGUCUCUUAUAC
This 303-nucleotide ribosomal RNA is filed under the name uncultured bacterium. Its description in RNAcentral is "partial 16S ribosomal RNA". It matches the Rfam family "Bacterial small subunit ribosomal RNA", at positions 507 to 807 of the family's 1533-position model. The record is from RNAcentral.